CCUACGGGAGGCAGCAGUAGGGAAUCUUCCACAAUGGGCGAAAGCCUGAUGGAGCAACGCCGCGUGAGUGAUGAAGGCCUUCGGGUUGUAAAACUCUGUCAUUCGGGACGAACCGGAGUCUGAGGAAAUGCAGACUCUCUGACGGUACCGGAGGAGGAAGCCCCGGCUAACUACGUGCCAGCAGCCGCGGUAAUACGUAGGGGGCAAGCGUUGUCCGGAUUCACUGGGCGUAAAGCGCGCGCAGGCGGUGAUGUAAGUCUGAGGUGAAAACCCGAAGCUCAACUUCGGGACUGCCUUGGAUACUGCGUCACUUGAGGAUAGGAGAGGCAAGGGGAAUUCCACGUGUAGCGGUGAAAUGCGUAGAGAUGUGGAGGAACACCUGUGGCGAAGGCGCCUUGCUGGCCUAUUUCUGACGCUGAGGCGCGAAAGCGUGGGGAGCAAACAGGAUUAGAUACCCUGGUAGUCCACGCUGUAAACGAUGAGUGCUAGGUGUAGGUGGGCUCAUACCCAUCUGUGCCGAAGCUAACGCAUUAAGCACNCCGCCGCGGGAGGUACGGUCGCGACGACGUAGAACGUACGAAGGAAGUAGACGGCGUUGAGACGNGCCGACGGACGACGACGAGGGAGGUUAGGG
RNAcentral lists this ribosomal RNA (634 nucleotides) under uncultured bacterium. RNAcentral's name for it is "bacterial SSU rRNA". The stretch from base 1 to 544 matches the Rfam family "Bacterial small subunit ribosomal RNA", at positions 338 to 873 of the family's 1533-position model. The record is from RNAcentral.